This 470-nucleotide ribosomal RNA is filed under the name uncultured bacterium. RNAcentral's name for it is "bacterial SSU rRNA". It matches the Rfam family "Bacterial small subunit ribosomal RNA", at positions 328 to 793 of the family's 1533-position model. The record is from RNAcentral.
AUCCAUCACUCCUACGGGAGGCAGCAGUGGGAAUAUUGCACAAUGGGGAAACCCUGAUGCAGCCAUGCCGCGUGUGUGAAGAAGGCCUUCGGGUUGUAAAGCACUUUCAGCGAGGAGGAAGGUUAGUAGUUAAUACCUGCUAGCUGUGACGUUACUCGCAGAAGAAGCACCGGCUAACUCCGUGCCAGCAGCCGCGGUAAUACGGAGGGUGCGAGCGUUAAUCGGAAUUACUGGGCGUAAAGCGUGCGCAGGCGGUUUGUUAAGCGAGAUGUGAAAGCCCCGGGCUCAACCUGGGAACCGCAUUUCGAACUGGCAAACUAGAGUCUUGUAGAGGGGGGUAGAAUUCCAGGUGUAGCGGUGAAAUGCGUAGAGAUCUGGAGGAAUACCGGUGGCGAAGGCGGCCCCCUGGACAAAGACUGACGCUCAGGCACGAAAGCGUGGGGAGCAAACAGGAUUAGAUACCCUGGUAG